RNAcentral lists this ribosomal RNA (433 nucleotides) under uncultured bacterium. RNAcentral describes it as "partial 16S ribosomal RNA". It matches the Rfam family "Bacterial small subunit ribosomal RNA", at positions 29 to 507 of the family's 1533-position model. The record is from RNAcentral.
AACGAACGCUGGCGGCAUGCCUAACACAUGCAAGUCGAACGAGACCUUCGGGUCUAGUGGCGCACGGGUGCGUAACGCGUGGGAACCUGCCCUUAGAUUCGGAAUAACUCCCCGCAAUGGUUGCUAAUACCGGAUCAUGUCUUCGGCCCAAAGAUUUAUCGCCUUUGGAUGGGCCCGCGUUGGAUUAGCUAGUUGGUAGGGUAAAAGCCUACCAAGGCUACGAUCCAUAGCUGGUCUGAGAGGAUGAUCAGCCACACUGGGACUGAGACACGGCCCAGACUCCUACGGGAGGCAGCAGUGGGGAAUAUUAGACAAUGGGCGAAAGCCUGAUCCAGCAAUGCCGCGUGAGUUAUGAAGGCCUUAUGGUUGUAAAGCUCUUUUACCCGGGAUGAUAAUGACAGUACCGGGAGAAUAAGCUCCGGCUAACUCCGUG